GGGGAACAAUUCAGGAUAUCUUUUCAUCAUAUCAUCUUCCCUUUCUGACGUGGCAUAAACGCCACCAUGGUUUUGCCAAUCCACUUUCACUAAUGGAAUUUCUUUAUUUCUCAACUUCUUGAUUCGUCGGUUUACAAUUUGAAUAGGCCAUUCUUCAAAAGAUUUUAUUUUGAUUUUACUAAAUGCUUAGAAAUCUAUAGUAUCAACAGAUUAAUGGUUUGUAAUUUGGUGAUAGUUAGGAGUGUUGCAGGCUGCUUUUUAAUGUUUUAGACGCAUGCUGAUGUUUCAUGUACUCUUCCCCCUCUUCCUUCUUUCUUUUGAAGUUUUGGUGAUAGUUUAAUGAACUUUCAUAAUGCCAUGGACUUGUAAUUGUUAACCGAUUGUAAUUUCUCUGUGAUUCCAUUGUAAUUUCUAACCUGUUGUAAUUUCUCUGUGAUUCCAUUCCAUGUAGAACCACAAAAAUCCAUCGAAGAGAUUGCAAAAGCUCUAACUGGUUCACUUAUUUCUUUGAAGUUUUCAAGGGUGAUUAUGAGAGUUUGGGCCUUGAUGCUUCUAGUGGGAAAUUAGUUAGCAUGCAGAAGAUAUGACAUCUAAUUCAGACACUGAUGGGUGAUUGGUCAACUGUUCCAAGGGAUGUUUUGGUGCAAGGCGCCACCUCAAAUGGGGGCAUGAGAAAUAUAUCAUUGAUACAAUACAAAGUCAUCCUGCACAGGUAAAGGAGGCAAUCAUUUCAUUUUUUAUAUUGAUGGAACAUGGCAAAGCUACUCAACAGGAUCUUGACCUGCAGUGUGAAGAACUAAUCGUGGAAGAAUUUGGUGAGAGAUGUAAUUUUGAUGUGGAUGAUGCAGUUUAGAAACUAGAUAAAUUAGGCAUUGUUGCUCGGGUGAGAUCAUCUUUUUCUCCUUCCUGGUAACGUGGGUGGUACUUGAAUUAAUAUGUUAUUCUCUCUUCAAUUCAAAUGAAUUUUUGUGGGUUUAACACUAGUAAGGGGAUACACUGAGCGGAAACCUUACCCUUGCCAAGGGAUCUAGCUUUGCUAGAGAUAUGGUUUGUUCAUUGAACUGGAUAAAUUAUGGCCCUAGUGCGAUGCUUUUAUCUCUGCCUAUGGAACACGUACGGUGUACGUUUUUGUAGUUGCAUACAGAUAAUUUGAUAAUAUUACUCUCUAUAGGAUAGAGUUUUAGUAAAGCAUUCUUUAUGCAAAUCGUAACUGAUACCUGUUGAGCUAAAUAUCGUUAUGUCAUUUUUUUUUUUUUGUGUGUGGCUUUGUUCUCUUGAUGAGAGUCAAUAUUUCAAAACAGGAUUCGAUUGGAAGAUAUUACUGUGUCAGUCUUAAGCAUGCUAAUGAGAUCAUUGGCACAACCACUGAGGAGCUUGUCCUUAAGGCUAAACAGAGUGCUAUUGCUCUUUGAUGUUAUUUUUGGAACCUAAGCUGCUGCUGCUACUCCCAUGUCUGGCUGAGAGAGUGCUUUGAAAUUCUCUACCUAAGAUCUCCACAUGCAAUGCAACAAUACCUUUACUUACAUGGAUGCGUGCCCAGGGUUUGUUUUCUUUUUCACUAGUCCAUUAGGAUAUGUAUAGAGUGAGCUUUUCAUCCGUUUUUCUUUUUAUAAAUUUAUUUAUCAUUUAAUUUUUCUUUUACUUUGUCUGCUUGACUUUCCAAGGUUUCCUGAAUAAUGUAAAUGUUUAUGUUGCCAUUUUAUGGGAAAACCUUUUCAAUAACACAGAUUCAACAGCAUUUGGUUAA
Non-coding RNA from Camellia sinensis, 1747 nucleotides. The record is from RefSeq and is a predicted model, not a curated record. Lineage: Eukaryota; Viridiplantae; Streptophyta; Magnoliopsida; Ericales; Theaceae.